CCCAAUGUGGUCAACGUCCUAGUCCUGGUUCAGCUACGGUUCACUUCUGAUGAGAAGUCAUUUUCUAGCUUCUUUCUCGGUCGUGUACAAAUUUUCCAUGUGAAAUGUCUCUUCUACUGCCUGUUCGAACUAAAUUCCAGCAACCCAAUUCUGCACACAAUUCACAACAUAAAUCAGCCAUCCACCCAUCUUAACAAUUGCAAGCCACAUGGACAGUUUAAACAAAUCAAAUGAUUAAUCAAAAAGAAACUCCCUUUUAGUCAGUAUGCAGCUGCUAGCCUUCUCCAACGAGACUAAUUCCUACUUCAUCAGUUCUUUCGCUGUUCAGUGUUAGAUGAUGCUGGGAAAAGUUGCUACUGCUCCUCACUAAUGGUUCCAAGGAUCUCUAAUCAAAUGAUCUUCUAGUUGCUAGUGCUUUGAACAAAAUCAGAAACCUCCUUGCAUUUUACACUACUCUGCAUCAACAUAUAUAUCAAUACAUCUCAACCUUGAUUCGUGGCAGCCAAAAGAAAUCAGAUUAGAUUCUAAUUCAAACUCUCUCUGUCUGAUGUUUCUAAUAUUUCCGCUUAAAUUUCUGGACUCCAAAUAUUUGGCAGCUCUGCACACAAAAAUUUCACACCCAAUUCCAGCAAGGUACAAAUGGUAAAGGACUAUUUAGACCAGAUUCAGAUAUAUAUAAUUCAAUCCUGACAGCAANGGAUCAAGCAUCAAUCCCAAUUUAAACAAAAGUCGAUCAAUUCAAUGAAUGAUAAUAACGGGAUACCAUGCAGACCAUAAUCAUCUAACUCAUUCAAUCAUGUAAUCAUAACUGGAAAUGCAAUGCUUGGUUCACUUUAUAAAACUGACAGANGUAUAGCAGUUAAAACAAUGUUGAUGCACAACCCUAUUUGUUUCAACUAAAUCUCCAAACAGUUCAGCUAUACAUGCACAAAAUUCACACCAAAGUUAAUACACAACCAGCAAUAUUAUCAUAAAACCCACAACAAACUAAGAUUCUUCCUGCAAUUAAUCCAGCUCAGAUCUGCUCACAAAAUUUACAUCAAUUUCAGUAAAAUACACGAGAACAUGGAUAUUAAACCAGAUGCCAUGGAUAUGAUUCAAAGCUGAAUGCAAUCUGUUUAAACACACUCCAACUAAUUGAAACCUGAACAAUCCAAUCUGGACAAGAGUGAUGUGAUGCAAUUUAGAAGUUGACGGUGAAAGUAUAGAUGCAGAAAUAAUGAAGUUCAGCAAUAACUCAGAUUCGACAUUUGCAAGUGAAAAUGAUAUGGAAUUCACAAUCAGGCUUAGCAAAAAUGAAUUGAUGCAGAAUUUUAAAAGAUAAAAUGCAGUAAUCAGAAUUAUGGUCCCAGCUUAAACAAAGCCACUUUGCUGCAUCAUG
This 1381-nucleotide long non-coding RNA is filed under the name Vigna radiata. RNAcentral describes it as "long non-coding RNA (VRAD_LNC017618)". Lineage: Eukaryota; Viridiplantae; Streptophyta; Magnoliopsida; Fabales; Fabaceae. The record is from RNAcentral.